Molecule: microRNA precursor, 62 nt
Filed under: Gadus morhua (Atlantic cod)
Lineage: Eukaryota; Metazoa; Chordata; Actinopteri; Gadiformes; Gadidae
Description: Gmo-Mir-19-P2c_pre stem-loop
Source: RNAcentral
AGUUUUGUUGGAUUGCGUUAGGCUGUUUUAUGACUUUGCUGUGCAAAUCCAUGCAAAACUCU